UUGUCUGCGAGAACUUGCCUAAACCUUAUCACUUAGAGGAAGGUGAAGUCGUAACAAGGUUUCCGUAGGUGAACCUGCGGAAGGAUCAU
This 89-nucleotide ribosomal RNA is filed under the name Chaetoceros sp. DDZ-2010a. RNAcentral describes it as "partial 18S ribosomal RNA". It matches the Rfam family "Eukaryotic small subunit ribosomal RNA", at positions 1741 to 1829 of the family's 1831-position model. Lineage: Eukaryota; Bacillariophyta; Thalassiosirophyceae; Chaetocerotales; Chaetocerotaceae. The record is from RNAcentral.